This 1111-nucleotide long non-coding RNA is filed under the name Strigops habroptila (Kakapo). Its description in RNAcentral is "lncRNA (ENSSHBG00005020463.1)". The record is from RNAcentral. Lineage: Eukaryota; Metazoa; Chordata; Aves; Psittaciformes; Psittacidae.
UUUUUUUGUUGGUGUUUUUGUAUUGGUGGGUUGUUUUCUUUUUCCCUUCUUCCCAAAAGGUACAGUGAAACCUUUUUUUCUGACAAUGUCAAGUUUUUCAGAGGAUGAAGUGUCAAUAUUUUGCCAGUUAAUUUUCUCAUGCUUGGGUCAUUUGUCAAGUGCACGUUCCCUAUUCCAAUCUUUCCAUGUGUCUUUUUUCCCCCUCUGAGCUCAAGCAUGUUCCCAUUUUAUGCUGCCUGAGGCAGACAAGACACAUUUUUCUGGACUCCAUCAACAUUAUGCAGCAGCUAAAGGGCUCAUAAUUAAAUCAUGCAAAAUGUCUUUUUUUUACUUUAUGCAACCCUCAAGAUUCUCCUAGGUGGGAGGAGGACAACAGGCUGCAGAAUGAAUCCCAUUCUGUGUGAUGAGACAAACCUAGAAGCAAACUCAAAAAGCUAAUUAUGUGCCUUUUAAAAGCUAACCUUACAGUUUUGUAAAACCUCCAGUUCCGUUGUGCUUAUACUGCAAUUAAUUCACCUGAAUUAAAAACCAAACCAAAACCACUGGGUAUUUCAUUCUGAAUUCAAUUGCUUUCAUUAUUACCACAUUUACCCAAUUUAUCACAAGUUUUGGAAGAAUGUACUUUAUCAUGAUGCCACAGCUACAGCGCUUUAAUACAGUUAACACAGCCUAUAAAUUCAGUAAGCUGUGAAUGAAUUACAAGAGGAACUGAAGAUCGCACUUGCUUCUGCAGACCAUUUCCUGGGUGUAUAAUACUUCUGUGUUUAAUGCUGAGAUUAGAGUUUACUUUCUUAAUGCACAUGCAGAAGCAUUAGUGACUGUUAAGGACAGUCCUUGGAUUUGGACUUUAUUGCCAAGAUAAAUGAAUGGAAGUUGGUGUGACUAAGGAAGUCUCAUAGAAAGACCAGGAAACAUGGAGAUGUUUACAAUAUCUAGUUGAGGUACUUACAGUAGGUGCUCUGAACUAUUUCCUUGGCAUUUCAUUUGAUUCCUUCCUUACAAGAAAUUCUUCUUGAAGUGAUCUGACUUGGUUUUCUUGGACUCAAGAACCCUUAAGUAAGAGAAACAGAGUUAAUUGUUUCAAUAAAUACAUGAUUCUUUUACCAAAGCA